AGACACGCUCUGCCUAUAUUGACACAGCACGCGACGCACUGGGGGCUUUUCAUUUGGAAAGAGGCACAAAAGAAGAAUGGCCGGAGGGAGAGAUACGUUUUGGUAAAAGCCAGGACAGCUGACAGUGACAAUGUGAACUGGGCCACUAUGGGGAAAUACUUCAGAGGCUGAUGGGAGCCUCGGAGCCUCAGGUCUGUGUCCGCCUCAGGUUGUCCUUCACACGGACAAACUCCGGGAUCUUCUGCUGGUUUUCCCGCUGCCUGAUCUCCUCCUGCUCAUACUGGAAAGACACAAGACAACUUCUGCUGCCUCUUGCGGAGCUCCGUCUCCAGAUCUGAGGGUCGCCUUCUGGCCAACUCCUCCUCCUUGUGCAACUCCAGUCUGCGCUGCUCCAGCACUCGCUUCAGCUCCGGUUUUUCCUCAGGAAAUAGGCCCCUAAAGGGUCAGUCAGUCACAGUUACAUACACAGUCCAACGGGCUCUGCUUUAAAUGUUGACCACAUUAAGAUCAGACAGUUGGGGUGUUGUGCUGGAACUCCUAUACCGUUUAUGACUGAGCAGCAGCUCCCGGUGCAGGUUCUGGUAGCUCGGUACCUCCACUUGAGAGCCGUUCAGUCUCCGGGGCUGGACGGCCUCGUCCCUGCUGCAGCCCGCUGUGGACUGACGGGACAGGCGCUGGCGGCCAACAGACGCCUCUAAGGAACACAAACCAACUCAUAUCUCUUCCUGCUAACUUUUAAGAUUUUAAUCAUAAAGUAUUUACAUAUAUAAUGAACAAGUGAACAACAUUUAUAUAUCAAAUAUAUGUCAAGUAGGUACUUAUUAAGAUCAUUGUAUCAAAUCAUUCCUAAUUUAUCAUUCAAACAGAUGAUUAUAGAUCAAUCAAUCAUUCAAAUACAUUGAUUAAUCUACUUUAUAAAUCUCAUAGCUUAAUCAUUUAAAUAUACGUUUUUAAACAUGUGAGUGAUACUUUCUAUCAAUCAAAUAUUCUAAUCAUCAGAGUAAUCAACUGUUUUUGAUUAGUACUUCCAUUUACAUUCAGCUUUUGUGCGAUAAAUACCUUUCUUGUGAUUUCCAUAUCCUGUUUUCUGUAGAUUUAAAAGGAUGAAAGAAAAUGAUGUAAGUAUCUGCAUAUAUUUACACUUAAGAACACAGGCUGAAGACUUGGCAUGCCUAUAACUCAACCAGACAGAAACCUUUGCCACACCCGCUGAAAUCAGAUAACCAUGAGGAGAGGAAUUAACAGAUGGUAGAUGCUGGUGUAAGUCAAGCAUGCUUCCCCUCAGUUCACCAUAAGAUCAAUGAGCUCUGUUUGUGUCUUUUUAUGUUCCUGCAGAGACAUAAGCCUCCCGAUCCUGUCCCUCCUCAGGCUCCUGCGGAGAGUUUAGAGCUGACAGAUAACCUGACGGGUGUCUGACCUGCUGCACGCCAUUGUUCCAGUCAGAGCCUGCAGGGCUGGAUUGAUUCCAGAAAAAUCUCUCCACCUAAUCUCAUAGUUGAUCUUUCUCUCUACAACAGAUGGUCAUAAAUGCUGACCCUCUACCUUUGGUUACAUAGUUGAUUUGUUUUCAUUCUAACAUGAGAACCCUUACAAUUGAAAGAACUAAUGUUUAUCAUGAUGACAAAGAUAAGUCAUGUUUAAAUGCAACAUGUGGUGUCAAAUGUAUUUUGGAUGAAUCAUUUGAGAAUCAAUGUAGGAUUUAAAUAAACAUGAAAGCAAAAUUACA
Eleginops maclovinus (Patagonian blennie) is the source of this 1726-nucleotide long non-coding RNA. RefSeq lists it as uncharacterized. NCBI's taxonomy places the organism in Eukaryota, Metazoa, Chordata, Actinopteri, Perciformes, Eleginopidae. The record is from RefSeq and is a predicted model, not a curated record. The transcript is spliced from 3 exons.